GACGAACGCUAGCGGCAGGCCUAAUACAUGCAAGUCGAACGGUAAGGUCUCUUCGGAGAUACACGAGUGGCGCACGGGUGCGUAACGCGUAUGUAACCUACCCUUCAGAGGGGGAUAGCCAGUGGAAACGCUGAAUAAUACCCCAUGUUAUUAUUGGUUGGCAUCAACCGAUAAUCAAAGCUCCGGCGCUGAAGGAUGGGCAUGCGUCCCAUUAGUUAGUUGGUGAGGUAACGGCUCACCAAGACCUCGAUGGGUAGCUGGUCUGAGAGGAUGAUCAGCCACACGGGCACUGAGACACGGGCCCGACUUCUACGGAAGGCAGCAGUAAGGAAUAUUGGUCAAUGGGGGCAACCCUGAACCAGCCAUGCCGCGUGGAGGAAGACGGCCCUCUGGGUUGUAAACUUCUUUUAUGUAGGGAUAAUUGUGUGCUAUACGCACGCUUGUAGGUACUACAUGAAUAAGCACCGGCUAACUACG
Molecule: ribosomal RNA, 477 nt
Filed under: uncultured Bacteroidota bacterium
Lineage: Bacteria; Pseudomonadati; Bacteroidota
Description: bacterial SSU rRNA
Rfam family: Bacterial small subunit ribosomal RNA
Source: RNAcentral